UGCAGAAUCCCGUGAACCAUCGAGUCUUUGAACGCAAGUUGCGCCUGAAGCCAUUAGGUUGAAGGCACGUCUGCCUGGGCGUCACGC
This 87-nucleotide ribosomal RNA is filed under the name Vaccinium macrocarpon (large cranberry). Its description in RNAcentral is "partial 5.8S ribosomal RNA". It matches the Rfam family "5.8S ribosomal RNA", at positions 73 to 154 of the family's 154-position model. From Rfam's summary of the family: 5.8S ribosomal RNA (5.8S rRNA) is a component of the large subunit of the eukaryotic ribosome. It is transcribed by RNA polymerase I as part of the 45S precursor that also contains 18S and 28S rRNA. Functionally, it is thought that 5.8S rRNA may be involved in ribosome translocation. The record is from RNAcentral. Lineage: Eukaryota; Viridiplantae; Streptophyta; Magnoliopsida; Ericales; Ericaceae. RNAcentral also lists the same sequence under 5 other names.